RNAcentral lists this ribosomal RNA (560 nucleotides) under uncultured Bacilli bacterium. RNAcentral describes it as "bacterial SSU rRNA". It matches the Rfam family "Bacterial small subunit ribosomal RNA", at positions 188 to 736 of the family's 1533-position model. The record is from RNAcentral. Lineage: Bacteria; Bacillati; Bacillota; Bacilli.
CAUGAUCCUUAGACGAAAGAUGGUUCUGCUAUCGCUUUUAGAUGGACCCGCGGCGUAUUAACUAGUUGAUGGGGUAACGGCCUACCAAGGUGAUGAUACGUAGCCGAACUGAGAGGUUGAUCGGCCACAUUGGGACUGAGACACGGCCCAAACUCCUACGGGAGGCAGCAGUAGGGAAUCUUCCACAAUGGACGCAAGUCUGAUGGAGCAACGCCGCGUGAGUGAAGAAGGUCUUCGGAUCGUAAAACUCUGUUGUUAGGGAAGAACACGAGUGAGAGUAACUGUUCAUUCGAUGACGGUAUCUAACCAGCAAGUCACGGCUAACUACGUGCCAGCAGCCGCGGUAAUACGUAGGUGGCAAGCGUUGUCCGGAUUUAUUGGGCGUAAAGGGAACGCAGGCGGUCUUUUAAGUCUGAUGUGAAAGCCUUCGGCUUAACCGGAGUAGUGCAUUGGAAACUGGAAGACUUGAGUGCAGAAGAGGAGAGUGGAACUCCAUGUGUAGCGGUGAAAUGCGUAGAUAUAUGGAAGAACACCAGUGGCGAAAGCGGCUCUCUGGUCUG